CAGCUCUCGGUAGAGAGGAGGUGGCGGCGGCGUCGGCUCUCGGGGAGACAGGAGUUGAUGCGGGAGGUGGCGGCUGGGGGAGGCGGCUACACCGCUGGGGGUGACUCUAGCUACGGCGGCCACGCAGCUCUAGCUGGAGCUGAGGCAGGUGUGCCUAGACCACACGCACCAGUUGCAGCGGAGCGAGGGGUGCCGUGGCGGGUGCCGUGGCGGGAUCCUGACCAGCUGCCGCGGCCACGCAGCUCCAGCUGCAGCGGAACUAGGGGUCGUGCUCUAGGGCGAUGCUUGAGGCCCGGACAACAGAGUUCAAGCGGCACGGUCGGGUGCGGUAGCGCGAGGAAAAGAGGCGCUGGGAGGUGCGCCUGCUCGCACCAGCCCGAGGGGUGGUGCAGAGGAUGGUGUGGCUGCCGCUCGCGCCACGGACGAGGGGUGAUGCGAUUAUGUAGUACCACGAGUCUAGACAGUACCACCUUUGCGCUACGUCUAAAAGGGAGGGAAGGUGGCUUAAUGAUAACCCGAGGUUCAGAAAGAAUAACGACGGAGAAAUAAAACGAAGGUUUAACUACGUCCGCGAUAGUCACUUUCCUAACCCCUGACCAAGAUCGUCACAAUCCUGUUCAUCAGUGAUCGUCGACUCGUUUCCGAUGUUGUACGAGCCUCCUCUUCAAACUUACCUCUGUCUCUCAUGUGAAACAAAUGGUUUCUAUGUGACCAACUACCUCCAUACCCACUAGAUGUUCGAAGACUCCUAAACGUACUAGAUGUUUGAAGACUUCCGAACCUACUGGAUGUUCGACGACUUACAAACGUUCUGGAUGUUAAUUCAACCACCUCACUAAUACAUUACACGGAACAAACAACUUGGACCACUGUAACCGUCCAAGACGAGUAGAACCACCAACAAAACCGUGUAUUCGUCGGUGAUAUACGAGAAAAACCAACCCACUGUGUGGAUCUUUGUAUAUAUGAAGAGAGGAACUCCGUGGUGAAUAUAAAAACAACACUCCGUGUGGAUCUUUGUAUAUACACGAGGAAAACACCGUGUUGGACAUAUACAUACCAACAAUACAAAUAAUUUACUUCAAAUUCCAAAAGCUACUC
Molecule: ribosomal RNA, 1101 nt
Filed under: Triticum aestivum (bread wheat)
Lineage: Eukaryota; Viridiplantae; Streptophyta; Magnoliopsida; Poales; Poaceae
Description: partial small subunit ribosomal RNA
Source: RNAcentral